Cyprinus carpio (common carp) is the source of this 686-nucleotide long non-coding RNA. NCBI's taxonomy places the organism in Eukaryota, Metazoa, Chordata, Actinopteri, Cypriniformes, Cyprinidae. The record is from Ensembl.
UUGUGAAUGAUCGUCUGUAUGUUUCUGAUGUAUGCUUCAUCAGAUGGACAGCAGCUGUCCACCACAAGCUCAUCAGCUCAAAGGAAAAAGAAGACUGUCACAACACAAAGACAAGAUGAUGAUGACUCCGCAGGAUGGUCACUUGGGAAGAGACAAUGUCAAACUUGAAGAGCAAGACAUGCAGAUGAUGGUAAUGCUGAUGAGGAUGACGGGAGUGAUGACAUCAGUCAAGGCAUUGAAGACACAGAUGGACUGGUGCACCAGGAGAUAGGUGGAGGACAAAUGGAGAGAACUGCAGAAAAACAUGAUGAUGAUGCUCCAGAAAGGGUAGUGAAGAACCGAGGUAAGAGACCCUGGAAUGACCAGGAGAGGACGGCAGUCAAACGACGCCUUGCCAAGUCAAUCGCCCUUAAAAUGGUUCCAGGAAAGCAGGACUGCCUGAUGUGCAUUGCCAAAGAGUCUCCAGUCCUAAGUGCGCAGAAGUGGAAAGACGUGAAGUAUUUUGUAUACAACGAAAUUCUUAAAGUUAAAAGAAAGCUUGCAUUAUGAAUGAAUUGACUGAGUUUCCUCCCUCUGUUGUAUUUCCGUGUUUUAAAGGGUGAAUUGUCUGUUAGUUUGUUCAUUUGUUAGCACUCUAACAACUUGAACAAUAAUAAUAAAUGCUGGUUUAUUUAUUAUGUCUGCCA